AGAGUUUGAUCAUGGCUCAGGAUGAACGCUAGCGGCAGGCUUAAUACAUGCAAGUCGAGGGGCAGCGGGGGUAGCAAUACCUGCCGGCGACCGGCAAACGGGUGCGGAACACGUACGCAACCUUCCCAGAACAGGUGAAUAGCCCUCCGAAAGGAGGAUUAAUACACCGUAAGAUAUAGAGAUGGCAUCAUUUUUAUAUAAUAGGCAGCAAUGCCGGUUUUGGAUGGGCGUGCGGCUGAUUAGGUAGUUGGCGGGGUAACGGCCCACCAAGCCUCCGAUCAGUAACUGGUGUGAGAGCACGACCAGUCACACGGGCACUGAGACACGGGCCCGACUCCUACGGGAGGCAGCAGUAAGGAAUAUUGGUCAAUGGACGCAAGUCUGAACCAGCCAUGCCGCGUGAAGGAUGAAGGCCCUCUGGGUUGUAAACUUCUUUUAUCUGGGACGAAAAAAGGGCUUUCUAGCUCACUUGACGGUACCAGAGGAAUAAGCACCGGCUAACUCCGUGCCAGCAGCCGCGGUAAUACGGAGGGUGCAAGCGUUAUCCGGAUUUACUGGGUUUAAAGGGUGCGUAGGUGGGCAGGUAAGUCAGUGGUGAAAUCUUCAAGCUUAACUUGGAAACUGCCAUUGAUACUAUUUGUCUUGAAUAUCCUGGAGGUAAGCGGAAUAUGUCAUGUAGCGGUGAAAUGCUUAGAUAUGACAUAGAACACCCAUUGCGAAGGCAGCUUACUACGGGAUUAUUGACACUGAGGCACGAAAGCGUGGGGAUCAAACAGGAUUAGAUACCCUAGUAGUCC
Molecule: ribosomal RNA, 797 nt
Filed under: uncultured bacterium
Lineage: Bacteria
Description: bacterial SSU rRNA
Rfam family: Bacterial small subunit ribosomal RNA
Source: RNAcentral